UACGUAGGGGGCAAGCGUUGUCCGGAUUUAUUGGGCGUAAAGAGCUCGUAGGCGGCUUGUUACGUCGUUCGUGAAAACUUGGGGCUCAACCCCAAGCUUGCGGUCGAUACGGGCAGGCUAGAGUUCGGUAGGGGAGACUGGAAUUCCUGGUGUAGCGGUGAAAUGCGCAGAUAUCAGGAGGAACACCGGUGGCGAAGGCGGGUCUCUGGGCCGAUACUGACGCUGAGGAGCGAAAGCGUGGGGAGCGAACAGG
This 253-nucleotide ribosomal RNA is filed under the name uncultured bacterium. RNAcentral describes it as "partial 16S ribosomal RNA". It matches the Rfam family "Bacterial small subunit ribosomal RNA", at positions 524 to 776 of the family's 1533-position model. The record is from RNAcentral.